Molecule: signal recognition particle RNA, 243 nt
Filed under: Otolemur garnettii (small-eared galago)
Lineage: Eukaryota; Metazoa; Chordata; Mammalia; Primates; Galagidae
Description: Metazoan signal recognition particle RNA
Rfam family: Metazoan signal recognition particle RNA
About the family: The signal recognition particle (SRP) is a universally conserved ribonucleoprotein. It is involved in the co-translational targeting of proteins to membranes.
Source: Rfam by way of RNAcentral
GCCUGUAGUCCCAGCUCCUCAGGAGGCUGAGGCAGGAGGAUCACCUGAGAACAGGAGUUCUGGGCUGCAGUGCUCUGUGGCAGUCAAGGGUCUGCACUAAGCUGGACACUGCCUAAGGGUGGGUGAACCAGCCUGGGUCCCACCUUGAGCAGGGCAAAACUCCUACGUUGAUCAGUAGUGGGAUUGCACCUGUGAACAGCCUCUGGCCUGUAGCCUGGGCAAUAUAAUGAGAUGCUAUCUCCA